GAGGCGUCUCACCCCUUUAGGAGCUCUGGAGCUGGAAGUGUCUGCAGGGACCGAGAGAGCGACUGAAUUCAGGCCGGAAAAGAGCGUCUGUGAGUCGGCGUGAGAACGGUGGAUUUGUCGCCGAAGAGCGGAGCAUUUUACCGGAGAAAGAGAGGCUUUAAAACUCGGAUUAACUGACCUGCUGCUGGGCUGAAUCAUAGGAGAUGUGGAGGUACAUGUCAGUGAAGAGGCAGUGAUUCAGCAGCUGAGCAUCAUCUGUGGAUCUUCAGCAGCAGCCCCUUCCCUGUGAGAGAAACAAACCUUCAACAACGUCGAAAGUUGCUUACUUCAAGAGGAAAUAUGCGGAGGAGGAGGAUUUGCACAGAGGCCUACGUGGAUAUCUUCAAAAACACCUGAUACUGCAGGAGGAUCGGAGCUGCAUCCUGAAGCUUUCCCUGGAAAAACUGAGGUUUCUGGAGGAUCCUGAAGCCUACCUGAGGCGCUCCGUCCUCAUCAACAACCUGCUGAGGAAGAUCCACCAUGAAGAGGAGGAACUGGAGGAAGAGGAGGAGGAAGAAGAGGAAGAGGUAGAAGAACAGGAGGAGGAAGAAGAAGAUGAGGAGGUGAUAGGAGAGAGGAGGUUGUUUUACCCGGACAGGAAGAGGGUUAAAGUGCUGGUGAUGGAUUGUUGCUCUCCAGCGUUUGGCCUGGAGGAGCUUCAGAAGUACAAAUUGGUGCCGUUUUACCCGUCGUCCGGAUGCCUUUACAGCCUGGGAGCCUGUCCAGGAAUCACCCCGAACCACCAGGUGCUUCUGUACAACCUGGACGACAACGGAUGAUCCUCCAAUCAGAGAGGGCAACAUUACACACAUCCUUCACUCAAGUAGAAGUACAGAUACUCGUGUUUAAAAAUACUCUGGUGAAAGUAGAAGUACUGACUAAACUUCUUUACUCAAGUCAAAGUAAAGAGGGCUUUGAAAUGUACUUCAGUAAAAAGUACC
Long non-coding RNA from Trematomus bernacchii (emerald rockcod), 980 nucleotides. RefSeq lists it as uncharacterized. The record is from RefSeq and is a predicted model, not a curated record. The transcript has 4 exons. NCBI's taxonomy places the organism in Eukaryota, Metazoa, Chordata, Actinopteri, Perciformes, Nototheniidae.